AUGAGUCUCCUCAGCUGAAAUUGUCGAGGAGUGGGUAAUAAAUCGAUAGUUCAUGACCUGGUAGCGCUCUCAAAGGCUGUCGGAGUGAGUUUUAUUUUUCUUUGUGAAACUAGGCAAAAAGCAGAAAAAGUCCAUUGUCUUCGAGGAAGAUUAGCUCUGAAUAGUUUUGCCGGUUUUGAUAGAGAUGGUCUCAGUGGUGGUCUAGGGUUGUUUUGGAACGACCUAAUGCACGUUGAAAUAAAGGAUGUUAAUGAGAGGUAUAUUGAUGUUUAUGUGUGUGUGUCUGAAGGAGCCCGUCUUUGGCGUCUCACCUGUGUGUAUGGAGAGCCGAGAGUGGAAAAUCGUCAUCACAUGUGGUCUCUUUAUGCAAACAUUAAAAGCCCAAUCAGAUCUUCCUUUGUGUGUCUUGGGGGAUUUUAA
This 420-nucleotide ribosomal RNA is filed under the name Triticum aestivum (bread wheat). RNAcentral's name for it is "partial small subunit ribosomal RNA". Lineage: Eukaryota; Viridiplantae; Streptophyta; Magnoliopsida; Poales; Poaceae. The record is from RNAcentral.